Long non-coding RNA from Macrosteles quadrilineatus (aster leafhopper), 1119 nucleotides. RefSeq lists it as uncharacterized. The transcript has 3 exons. NCBI's taxonomy places the organism in Eukaryota, Metazoa, Arthropoda, Insecta, Hemiptera, Cicadellidae. The record is from RefSeq and is a predicted model, not a curated record.
CCUAUACCAAGGCAAUAACUUAAUGUCCUUCGGAUUCCACUAUAAACUGUAUGUCCCUUAGUUGCCAUUAGCUGUUUGGGCUAUUAAUUAACAGCUGUGUCUAAGGAAUGUCAGUCUUAGUCACUAACAAGACUACAAGAUCGCUCCACUCAUCCUACACUCAUCUCCAUUCAUACUUGGCUUAAAAUACCUACUUUGUAUGGUCGCCAAGUAAUAAGAAAGAAAGUAGGCCUAUUAAAGAAAUACAUUCAUUGGAAUGAGUCUAGGACGUAAACUUAAGUGCUGUCAAAUAUUCUAGAGCUGUUUGUAUUUGGUGUAAGACUAGACUUGGAUUAUAUCAUUCAUUGCUGAUGACUUCAAUGUUAGUUUUAUAGAUGAUCCUGGAGCAAAGGCUGUAAUUUAACCUGAACCCAAAUUGGUCUCUGUUUUAAAUAUUGUCUUGAACCAAUAAGUUAAGAGGACUAACUUUUCUGGACGACAUUGCCAUCGACAUCACUGCAGAUGAGAGAGAAAGAGAGACCAGAGUUGUGUACCCUGGAGGCAAUUACCAUACUGCUGUGAUAAUGUUCCUUGGUCUAACCAUAACUUAAGUGAGAGCUGAAGCCUACCAGUAAAAUGGGGGUGUUGUAAUUAAUAUCCUCCGACACUGGAGAAUACAGGGGAGAGGUGUCAGAGGAAGAGGAGAUGGAGGAUGGGGCCAGUUUAAGACUAAGAUUGAAGAAAACUAACUUAUGGCCUGAUGACAGGGUGGAUGGCGAUGGAGGCAUGUAGGUUGGGGGAGAGAAGGCUGAAGAAGUGAAGACAAAUCAGUUUAGAUUCAUUAUAAUGAUUAGUUUAAUAUUUAUUUUGAAUACCAGUAUACUUUUAUUCAAUUUUUUUCCUCAUUUAGAUUAUUUAAUUAAGAAAAUUUUAUUAUUUUUAUAAAGAUGUUUUCUUAAAUUUUUAAUAUUUGUUUGUACUUCUGCCUGGUAAAAAACAAAACUGUUUAUUAUGUUUGUUAAAAUGAUUAGGCCUACUUCCACUAAUGGACCUUGUCUUGGGUGAAAAGAGAUAUCUUGAUAUUUAACUAGCAGGGUGCCUGUUUUAUCUAUGGGCGGGGAUCGUAUAAGUCAGUUGAAA